CGUUUUCCUGAACUCCUAACCUCAGUCAACACUGCCUCGGGACCUGGCGCUGCCUGGGAGAUCCAGAAGAAAGGAAGCAUCUUGGCCCCUGCCUUGGGGGCGACACGACCGUCCCCAAACACAGCGAGUCACUGGCCUGGGUCUUUUGUGCAGAGGCCCCUCUAGGAGCGGGGAACCAACGAUGGCACGAACAUUGAUUUGAGGAGGAUGCUUCGCAGUUUACGAAACAAUGAGCGCUAGAGGCGUUCAGAAACGGGAAAGAUCACUUUGUGCUCCUGUGAUCUGAAGGCUGCGUGAAAAAGAUGAGGCUUGGAAAAUGGGACUUACCACAUUAUAGGACAGACCACAGUGCAUGUCUGUCUGCUCCAACAGAAGUGGCUUUCUUGAGGGAAGGAAUUCUGCCUUGUUCAACUUUAUAUUCCCCCACAGUGCCUUGCAGAAAGUAGGAGCCCAGUAAAUGUGUACUGAAUUGCUCAGAAUUGUGUGGUGAGGUAGAAAGUAUUGCUUAAUCUCUCCGAGACCUCAAUUUCCUUAUUUGUAAAUUAAACUGCUGAUUAAUUUCUAAAGAUCUUUUGAGUUACAGAAUUCUGUUACCCAACAUCGUUUCAGAGAUUGAGAAGACUAAAUUAUUUGAUUUCUAAAUUCCUUUUCAACUUCAAUAUUAAAUGAUUUUAUA
Molecule: long non-coding RNA, 676 nt
Filed under: Pongo abelii (Sumatran orangutan)
Lineage: Eukaryota; Metazoa; Chordata; Mammalia; Primates; Hominidae
Description: lincRNA
Source: RNAcentral